This 465-nucleotide ribosomal RNA is filed under the name uncultured bacterium. RNAcentral's name for it is "partial 16S ribosomal RNA". It matches the Rfam family "Bacterial small subunit ribosomal RNA", at positions 28 to 507 of the family's 1533-position model. The record is from RNAcentral.
GAUGAACGCUGGCGGCGUGCUUAACACAUGCAAGUCGAACGGAAAGGCUCCUGCUUGCAGGGGUACUCGAGUGGCGAACGGGUGAGUAACACGUGGGUGAUCUGCCCUGCACUUCGGGAUAAGCCUGGGAAACUGGGUCUAAUACCGGAUAGGACGAUGGUUUGGAUGCCAUUGUGGAAAGUUUUUCGGUGUGGGAUGAGUUCGCGGCCUAUCAGCUUGUUGGUGGGGUAAUGGCCUACCAAGGCGUCGACGGGUAGCCGGCCUGAGAGGGUGUACGGCCACAUUGGGACUGAGAUACGGCCCAGACUCCUACGGGAGGCAGCAGUGGGGAAUAUUGCACAAUGGGCGCAAGCCUGAUGCAGCGACGCCGCGUGGGGGAUGACGGCCUUCGGGUUGUAAACUCCUUUCGCUAGGGACGAAGCGCAAGUGACGGUACCUGGAGAAGAAGCACCGGCUAACUACGUG